Molecule: ribosomal RNA, 510 nt
Filed under: uncultured bacterium
Lineage: Bacteria
Description: partial 16S ribosomal RNA
Rfam family: Bacterial small subunit ribosomal RNA
Source: RNAcentral
GACGAACGCUGGCGGCGUGCUUAACACAUGCAGGUCGAACGAAGAGCGAUGGAAGCUUGCUUCUAUCAAUCUUAGUGGCGAACGGGUGAGUAACGCGUAAUCAACCUGCCCUUCAGAGGGGGACAACAGUUGGAAACGACUGCUAAUACCGCAUACGAUCUAAUCUCGGCAUCGAGGAUAGAUGAAAGGUGGCCUCUACAUGUAAGCUAUCACUGAAGGAGGGGAUUGCGUCUGAUUAGCUAGUUGGAGGGGUAACGGCCCACCAAGGCGAUGAUCAGUAGCCGGUCUGAGAGGAUGAACGGCCACAUUGGGACUGAGACACGGCCCAGACUCCUACGGGAGGCAGCAGUGGGGAAUCUUCCGCAAUGGACGAAAGUCUGACGGAGCAACGCCGCGUGAGUGAUGACGGCCUUCGGGUUGUAAAGCUCUGUUAAUCGGGACGAAAGGCCUUCUUGCGAAUAGUGAGAAGGAUUGACGGUACCGGAAUAGAAAGCCACGGCUAACUACGUG